UUCCCCUAGUAGCGGCGAGCGAAGCGGGAAGAGCUCAAAUUUAUAAUCUGGCACCUUCGGUGUCCGAGUUGUAAUCUCUAGAAGUGUUUUCCGCGUUGGACCGCACACAAGUCUGUUGGAAUACAGCGGCAUAGUGGUGAAACCCCCGUAUAUGGUGCGGACGCCCAGCGCUUUGUGAUACACUUUCAAUGAGUCGAGUUGUUUGGGAAUGCAGCUCAAAUUGGGUGGUAAAUUCCAUCUAAAGCUAAAUAUUGGCGAGAGACCGAUAGCGAACAAGUACCGUGAGGGAAAGAUGAAAAGCACUUUGGAAAGAGAGUUAACAGUACGUGAAAUUGUUGGAAGGGAAACGCUUGAAGUCAGACUUGCUUGCCGGAGCUUGCUUCGGUUUGCAGGCCAGCAUCAGUUUUCCGGGGUGGAUAAUGACGGUUUGAAGGUAGCAGUCUCGGCUGUGUUAUAGCUUUCCGUUGGAUACAUCCUGGGGGACUGAGGAACGCAGCGUGCUUUUUGCGAAAGACUCGUCUUUUUCACGCUUAGGAUGCUGGUGGAAUGGCUUUAAACGACCCGUCUUGAAACACGGACCAAGGAGUCUAACAUGCUCGCGAGUAUUUGGGUGUCAAACCCGGAUGCGCAA
This 631-nucleotide ribosomal RNA is filed under the name Ustilentyloma graminis. RNAcentral's name for it is "LSU rRNA". It matches the Rfam family "Eukaryotic large subunit ribosomal RNA", at positions 75 to 719 of the family's 3401-position model. The record is from RNAcentral. Lineage: Eukaryota; Fungi; Basidiomycota; Microbotryomycetes; Microbotryales; Ustilentylomataceae.